RNAcentral lists this ribosomal RNA (567 nucleotides) under uncultured bacterium. RNAcentral's name for it is "bacterial SSU rRNA". It matches the Rfam family "Bacterial small subunit ribosomal RNA", at positions 347 to 916 of the family's 1533-position model. The record is from RNAcentral.
GGCAGCAGUUAGGAAUCUUCCGCAAUGGACGGAAGUCUGACGGAGCGACGCCGCUUGGAGGAGGAAGCCCUUCGGGGUGUAAACUCCUGAACUGGGGACGAAAGCCCUGAUGAGGGGGAUGACGGUACCCAGGUAAUAGCGCCGGCCAACUCCGUGCCAGCAGCCGCGGUAAUACGGAGGGCGCGAGCGUUACCCGGAUUUACUGGGCGUAAAGGGCGUGUAGGCGGCCUGGGGCGUCCCAUGUGAAAGGCCACGGCUCAACCGUGGAGGAGCGUGGGAUACGCUCAGGCUAGAGGGUGGGAGAGGGUGGUGGAAUUCCCGGAGUAGCGGUGAAAUGCGCAGAUAUCAGGAGGAACACCAGUGGCGAAGGCGGUGCUCUGGGCCGGAACCGACGCUGAGGAGCGAAAGCAUGGGGAGCGAACAGGAUUAGAUACCCUGGUAGUCCAUGCCGUAAACGUUGGGCACUAGGUGUGGGGUCUUCUUAACGGAUUCCGUGCCGUAGCUAACGCAUUAAGUGCCCCGCCUGGGGAGUACGGCCGCAAGGCUAAAACUCAAAUGAAUUGACGG